This 604-nucleotide ribosomal RNA is filed under the name Salmonella enterica. Its description in RNAcentral is "partial 23S ribosomal RNA". It matches the Rfam family "Bacterial large subunit ribosomal RNA", at positions 586 to 1191 of the family's 2925-position model. Lineage: Bacteria; Pseudomonadati; Pseudomonadota; Gammaproteobacteria; Enterobacterales; Enterobacteriaceae. The record is from RNAcentral.
UACCUGUGUGACUGCGUACCUUUUGUAUAAUGGGUCAGCGACUUAUAUUCUGUAGCAAGGUUAACCGAAUAGGGGAGCCGGAGGGAAACCGAGUCUUAACCGGGCGUUAAGUUGCAGGGUAUAGACCCGAAACCCGGUGAUCUAGCCAUGGGCAGGUUGAAGGUUGGGUAACACUAACUGGAGGACCGAACCGACUAAUGUUGAAAAAUUAGCGGAUGACCUGUGGCUGGGGGUGAAAGGCCAAUCAAACCGGGAGAUAGCUGGUUCUCCCCGAAAGCUAUUUAGGUAGCGCCUCGUGAAUUCAUCUCCGGGGGUAGAGCACUGUUUCGGCUAGGGGGCCAUCCCGGCUUACCAACCCGAUGCAAACUGCGAAUACCGGAGAAUGUUAUCACGGGAGACACACGGCGGGUGCUAACGUCCGUCGUGAAGAGGGAAACAACCCAGACCGCCAGCUAAGGUCCCAAAGUCAUGGUUAAGUGGGAAACGAUGUGGGAAGGCCCAGACAGCCAGGAUGUUGGCUUAGAAGCAGCCAUCAUUUAAAGAAAGCGUAAUAGCUCACUGGUCGAGUCGGCCUGCGCGGAAGAUGUAACGGGGCUAAACCAUG